Molecule: ribosomal RNA, 235 nt
Filed under: uncultured bacterium
Lineage: Bacteria
Description: partial 16S ribosomal RNA
Rfam family: Bacterial small subunit ribosomal RNA
Source: RNAcentral
UGGCGGACGGGUGAGUAAUGUCUGGGAAACUGCCUGAUGGAGGGGGAUAACUACUGGAAACGGUAGCUAAUACCGCAUAACGUCGCAAGACCAAAGAGGGGGACCUUAGGGCCUCUUGCCAUCGGAUGUGCCCAGAUGGGAUUAGCUAGUAGGUGGGGUAACGGCUCACCUAGGCGACGAUCCCUAGCUGGCCUGAGAGGAUGACCAGCCACACUGGAACUGAGACACGGUCCAG